Molecule: long non-coding RNA, 1222 nt
Organism: Strigops habroptila (Kakapo)
Lineage: Eukaryota; Metazoa; Chordata; Aves; Psittaciformes; Psittacidae
Exons: 3
Source: RefSeq, a predicted model, not a curated record
CUCCGGGUUGCUCCCAUGUCACUUGCAGCUCCAAGGCCCCUGUGGGACUGCAGUGGUUUUUCACUGGCAUGCAAGUGAAGCAGAGAUGGGUUUGGGUCUGAAACCUCUCCAGAGGAGGAACACCCUGAACAAGGUCAAGUCCCCUGCUCAUCCCACCACCAUUUUGCCAAGCGAGCUGUUGGGGAAGCACGAAGCCCAGUUACAAGACAAGCACCAGAAGUCCCAGGGGAGCGUCACCAGCGCAGUCAUCUCCACACAUGCAAAGGUCCCUUUUGCCUUGGGUUUUUUUUUUUUCCCCUUUGAAAUUUCAAAUUCCAGUUUGUGGACAAAGUCCUGCCUAUCUGAGAAUAUAGAUCUCCGACCACUGACCAAACUCCACUCCAAGCAGUUCCGAGGGCUGCUCUUCCCCUUGCCCACAGAUGCCUCCGCUCAGCCUCCGGAUCUGCUGGGAUCACACCUUUUGCACUGGAGCAGAGCACUCGUACUUGCACAAAGAGGAUUUUCUGUGUUUCAACCUUAAUGUCAGCAGCUCCCUUUCUCCACACGGAAUGGGAAGGACCAUGGGGAAUAACCAGGACCAGAAAGGGGUUUUAUUAUCCUGCCUAACAAAGGCUCUCAGCAGUUGAGGAAGUAAUUACUAAUAUGCUUGGGAGCUGUUGCUUUGCCAGGAGAGAGUGUGCAGAAUGCCUGAAUAGCCUGUCUUGUCCCCACUGUCCUCAGUUGCCAGAGCACACCAAGCGCCAGAGGGGUAGGUGGGAGCAAAGCAGCACCCGGGAACUCCAUGCCCACAGCAGCUUCGCACCCCUGCAGCCUGUGGCCACCACAGCACCUCCUGUGUAACACGACAUCCUGUCUACUGCCACAGAAACGGAAACACACAGCAGCAAGCAAGGCAUGGGAACAUGGAAGGUUUCUACAGGCAAGGUUUGUUGCAUGGGGAGGGGACAGCAAGGGGAGGAGAUCACACGUGGGCAGGACACUGCAGUGCCAACUGCCUGGCUCCCGACUAACAAACAACAUAGCUAACGGCUAAUUAGCCUCUGAGCAUUUGACCUAUGUCUCCAAGACAGGAUAACACUAUUAUUUGUCCCUUUACAUUCCUGGAAGGCCCAGUGCCAUUGGCCUCUUGUAUCAUAAAGAAAUUAAGAUAUAUUAUGACCAUAAACUACAUCAUUUGAGGAAAUGAACUAUUUCUUAGUAAACCUAUCAUGGGACACCGAAA